This is a long non-coding RNA of Olea europaea var. sylvestris, 755 nucleotides long. RefSeq lists it as uncharacterized. NCBI's taxonomy places the organism in Eukaryota, Viridiplantae, Streptophyta, Magnoliopsida, Lamiales, Oleaceae. The record is from RefSeq and is a predicted model, not a curated record. The transcript is spliced from 2 exons.
UGUCAGUCAUGUGCAUAAAGUUAUGGGACCUUCAAAUCCCUCUUUUCUAUAUACUCUAUGCUUUACAAUUGUACAUUUACUAUUGCAAUUUAAAGCCUCCAAUUCCAGCUCUAAAGUUCUGCAAAUAUGGCAGAUGUUUUGGUUCAGUAACUUCAGUUCCAGCUAAAUAUCAUUAACUACUGGUUACUAUUUUUGUUGAUGAUCUGCAUGAGUCUGCAGAGGGAGCAUGAUCACCAUUUUGUAGCUGAAGCUUUCUUUUUUCCUCUUUCUAUAUAAUUGUAGUGUUUUCUUGAAAAGGGGCUUAAAGAAUUCUGCUAAGGGAUUAACUGAGAUGGGAAUCAGAGGGGAACUAGUUAGAAGUGCGUUCUAGAAAAGCCUCUCUGUACGAACGCGUGACAGUCAUGCUAGGAGUUAUGCAGUGGAAAAGAAAAGAUGGAGUUCAGUAAGAUCAUACCUUUGCGGGGAUGAGUUUAGUUCAAUAGUUGCAGAGGAUGAUUUAUCGAGCUUCACACCUGCAAUUGAUGAAGGUGAAUUUACUUCAGUUUAUGCAGAGGCGGAUACGGCUUCUAUUAGAAGCUCUGAGGCCACUGUCAAUCAACCAUUGGCAGGAGAUUUCAAGGGCCAAGCAGAUGCUGAAAGCAAUGAGGUGAAGAAUGGAAGACCAAAGGAAAAGCAAAACUCAACUCCAACAGUAACGAAACUGGCGUGGGCUGGAGCUGGCUAGAACGAUGGAUGGUGACUUGUCUGCCAGAAAA